AACAGUAACAGUAAGCCUCUAAUCUCUGGUAUGUGACUCCCAGUUUACUGGGAGACAGCAGAAGCAUAUCCAGGUAAGGAAAUCUGCCCACACAUCCUGACCUCUGGGAUUCUCUCUCUGGGAUUCUUGUGUCUGGAACGAUACCACAUCGCCUUCUCAGCGCAGGGGAGUCUGACCCUCGGAGUUCUGUUCAUCAUUACCCCACUGAGGGGUAAGCUGACUUCCGCCGUUCUUACGACUGCGUCUGCUCAUCUGAAAGAGUGCAGGUAUUGGACUGCAUCAGGGGACACACGCUCAGACUGCCACAGAGGCCGGGAAGUCAACGAUGUGAGCGAAGAGGGCCAGGCACAAGCAAGAGAGAGAAGUGGAGGCUGGAAACCAGAGCUCCCACAUUCCGUCCAAAGGGGGUAGCGCCUCCCUCGUUCUUGCCAGUCACCGCCACAUGCAGGAUGAAGUCCCAACUCCUUAACAAAGCAUAAACCAUACUGACUCCUGGCAUCUUCCCUCAUGGAUGCAACCAGUGCAAUUGUGAUAAUAGCUCUUCCUGGGUUGAACUUCUUGUGAAAUCUCCUCAUAAAUCAGAGAUUUUGGGUUGGUUCGUCUGGAGUGGAACCCUCCUCUCCUGAAGUGAUUCCAGUGUAGAAGGUAGGGGAAGCCCAAUGGAAGGGACAGAGACCAAAAGUGACAGGCAGCAUUAUUUGAUGUAAAUUAACGAAGCAUCCUUCCACUAUGAGAAUAAUUAAUCUGUAACGACUUGUUUUGGAGCAAUGUUAAUGAAAAAUUAGUGGCCUUACCCUCCUACUACGGAGGAUGUUCUCCUGGAAAAUGGUCUUGGAUUUUAACUCUUCUCCACAAAGUGAAAACACCUGCUGCAUCAAAAAAUGGAGGGAAAUAGGAACUCAUUCAGGAUCACUGAGUGUAGAUUCUUGAAGGUGAUAUUCCUUAGAUGCAUGGGUAUGGAAAGAGGUCUUCUGGGAUAUUGAGCACUUUUCAGAAAAUGGUGGCUUCAUAUGGUGGGUGCUAUGGCAUGGCAUCCAGAUUCCCACUUCAGGACUGAGACAAUUGAUCACCCGGCUGCCAUGAGUAUUUCCUUCUGAUGGCUUACAGAUAAAUGUCUGUAGGCGUUGUCCCCCUUCAUCAAGCUUACACCUGUGGGGCAGCCGGUGUCCCACGGUUAGCUGGUGUGGAGGUGCAGGACCUGGACAGCCUGCAGUCCAUGCAGCUCUAGAACUCAGUGUGGGAUCGACUGAGGUCUUUGUUGAACGUGCACCACAGUUCAGCUUCUUCCUCCACCCAAUUCUUUGUUCCUCACUCCUUGGAUCCUUAGGGCAUUCCUCCAAAACUUUCCACCUACCGAUCUCCAUCUGAGAUCUCCAACUGCUUCCAGAAGAACCUGACCUGACAGUGGGUUCAGAACUCCCGGGUUUCACCUCAAUGACAUUAUUCAUGUUACUUUGUUCCAGAAUUUUAGUUCCCAAUCCGCCACUCCUUUCUGCAUCCUUCCUUUUCCUUUUUCUCCUGCUCUAUCCUUGAUAUUUAAGGGCCCCUACUCUGGAUCUCUUGUUUCCUCUAUCACUGACCUUAUUAGGCUGUAUUUUCUUUUUACUCUGUGUGAGCCUGACCUCAAGCACACACAUACACGUACAAAGCCCUGAGGUUUCUGUGAUCUAAGGCAUUUGAGAAAUUUGGAGUUAAACAAAUGUGAGUUGCUGCAGGAGUUCUGAGUCUUUAAAAAGCUCAUGUAACAGAGGCACCUGAGUGGCUUAGUCAGUGAAGCAUUAGUCUUUUGAUUUUGAUUUUGGCUGCGGUCAUGAUCUCAUGGUUUGUGAGAUCGAGCUCUGCA
Prionailurus viverrinus (fishing cat) is the source of this 1843-nucleotide long non-coding RNA. RefSeq lists it as uncharacterized. Lineage: Eukaryota; Metazoa; Chordata; Mammalia; Carnivora; Felidae. The record is from RefSeq and is a predicted model, not a curated record. The transcript has 3 exons.